This 432-nucleotide ribosomal RNA is filed under the name uncultured bacterium. RNAcentral describes it as "bacterial SSU rRNA". It matches the Rfam family "Bacterial small subunit ribosomal RNA", at positions 958 to 1392 of the family's 1533-position model. The record is from RNAcentral.
AACGCGAAGAACCUUACCUGGGCUUGACAUGCAGGGCAAAGCCGGUGAAAGCCGGCGCUCUACGGAGCCUGCACAGGUGGUGCAUGGCUGUCGUCAGCUCGUGCCGUGAGGUGUUGCCUUAAGUGGCGCAACGAGCACAACCCUUGUCCCUAGUUGCCAGCGGGUAGAGCCGGGAACUCUAGGGAGACUGCCGGUGCCAAACCGGAGGAAGGUGGGGAUGACGUCAAGUCAUCAUGCCCCUUAUGUCCAGGGCUGCACGCAUGCUACAAUGCGCGGUACAAAGGGCUGCGAUCCCGUAAGGGGGAGCGAAUCCCAAAAAGCCGCGCUCAGUUCGGAUCGGGGUCUGCAACCCGACCCCGUGAAGUCGGAGUCGCUAGUAAUCGCAGAUCAGCAAUGCUGCGGUGAAUACGUUCCCGGGCCUUGUACACACCG